Molecule: ribosomal RNA, 253 nt
Filed under: uncultured bacterium
Lineage: Bacteria
Description: partial 16S ribosomal RNA
Rfam family: Bacterial small subunit ribosomal RNA
Source: RNAcentral
UACGCAGGGCGCAAGCGUUAUCCGGAAUUAUUGGGCGUAAAGAGCUCGUAGGCGGUUUGUCGCGUCUGCCGUGAAAGUCCGGGGCUCAACUCCGGAUCUGCGGUGGGUACGGGCAGACUAGAGUGAUGUAGGGGAGACUGGAAUUCCUGGUGUAGCGGUGAAAUGCGCAGAUAUCAGGAGGAACACCGGUGGCGAAGGCGGGUCUCUGGGCAGUAACUGACGCUGAGGAGCGAAAGCGUGGGGAGCGAACAGG